RNAcentral lists this ribosomal RNA (460 nucleotides) under uncultured bacterium. RNAcentral's name for it is "partial 16S ribosomal RNA". It matches the Rfam family "Bacterial small subunit ribosomal RNA", at positions 338 to 795 of the family's 1533-position model. The record is from RNAcentral.
CCUACGGGAGGCAGCAGUGAGGAAUAUUGGUCAAUGGACGAGAGUCUGAACCAGCCAAGUAGCGUGAAGGAUGACUGCCCUAUGGGUUGUAAACUUCUUUUAUAAAGGAAUAAAACGAGGCACGUGUGCCUUUUUGCAUGUACUUUAUGAAUACGGAUCGGCUAACUCCGUGCCAGCAGCCGCGGUAAUACGGAGGCUCCGAGCGUUAUCCGGAUUUAUUGGGUUUAAAGGGCGCGUAGAUGGGUUGUUAAGUCAGUUGUGAAAGUUUGCGGCUCAACCGUAAAAUUGCAAUUGAUACUGGCAGUCUUGAGUACAGUUGAGGUAGGCGGAAUUCGUGGUGUAGCAGUGAAAUGCUUAGAUAUCACGAAGAACCCCGAUUGCGAAGGCAGCUUACUAAACUGUGACUGACAUUGAUGCUCGAAAGUGUGGGUAUCAAACAGGAUUAGAUACCCUUGUAGUC